This 488-nucleotide ribosomal RNA is filed under the name uncultured bacterium. RNAcentral's name for it is "partial 16S ribosomal RNA". It matches the Rfam family "Bacterial small subunit ribosomal RNA", at positions 30 to 505 of the family's 1533-position model. The record is from RNAcentral.
AUUGAACGCUGGCGGCAGGCCUAACACAUGCAAGUCGAAUGGUAACAGGAAACAGCUUGCUGUUUCGCUGACGAGUGGCGGACGGGUGAGUAAUGUCUGGGAAACUGCCUGAUGGAGGGGGAUAACUACUGGAAACGGUAGCUAAUACCGCAUAACGUCGCAAGACCAAAGAGGGGGACCUUCGGGCCUCUUGCCAUCAGAUGUGCCCAGAUGGGAUUAGCUAGUAGGUGGGGUAACGGCUCACCUAGGCGACGAUCCCUAGCUGGUCUGAGAGGAUGACCAGCCACACUGGAACUGAGACACGGUCCAGACUCCUACGGGAGGCAGCAGUGGGGAAUAUUGCACAAUGGGCGCAAGCCUGAUGCAGCCAUGCCGCGUGUAUGAAGAAGGCCUUCGGGUUGUAAAGUACUUUCAGCGGGGAGGAAGGGAGUAAAGUUAAUACCUUUGCUCAUUGACGUGACCCGCAGAAGAAGCACCGGCUAACUCCG